UCGGGAAUAUUGCGCAAUGGAGGAAACUCUGACGCAGUGACGCCGCGUGCAGGAAGAAGGUUUUCGGAUUGUAAACUGCUUUAGACAGGGAAGAAAAAAUGACAGUACCUGUAGAAUAAGCUCCGGCUAACUACGUGCCAGCAGCCGCGGUAAUACGUAGGGAGCAAGCGUUAUCCGGAUUUAUUGGGUGUAAAGGGUGCGUAGACGGAGAGGCAAGUUAGUUGUGAAAUCCCUCGGCUUAACUGAGGAACUGCAACUAAAACUACUUCCCCUUGAGUGCUGGAGAGGAAAGUGGAAUUCCUAGUGUAGCGGUGAAACUGCGUAGAUAUUAGGAGGAACACCAGUGGCGAAGGCGACUUUCUGGACAGUAACUGACGUUGAGGCACGAAAGUGUGGGGAGCAAACAGGAUUAGAUACC
Molecule: ribosomal RNA, 418 nt
Filed under: uncultured bacterium
Lineage: Bacteria
Description: bacterial SSU rRNA
Rfam family: Bacterial small subunit ribosomal RNA
Source: RNAcentral